UAAGGAUUACUGCCCCCACCCUCAACAGAUGGUGAUAGAAUAGAUACCUUUUAUCACACUCUGUAUUGUAACCCCGGACAGGUCUGAAGAAAAGAAUACCUACUAAUAUGAAAGGGAAACAUUAGUUAUCCCAUAGUUACAUUAAUCUAUGAGAAUAAUUGAUCAUGGACAUUAACACUCUCUUACUAAUUGUCAUGGAAAAGAUUGCUGGUUUACACAUACAAUUUUAAAUUUGACUUGGUUAUAGUAUGGCACAAAAUCCAAGAACUCUGGGACCAAAAGAUCCCAGAAGGGCUGGGAUCAACGGUGGUGGCAGUGAUAGAUACAAGGCAGCAGCACUGAGCAUUAGCUUCGCCCAUAUCAAAACAAAGACUCUGCUGUAAGUUGACACAGUUAACUUUUUCAUCUGAAGCAGAAAUUGCACCCUAUACCUGGGAAGCCUUUCCUGACAUAUUUAAUUUAUUACUGAGAAAAUGUAUGCUCUCUAGGGGGUAAUUUGGGAAAUGUGAGUCAGGAACAUAGGUGAGAUGAGCCAACAAAGUGACAAUUCCAGGCUCUCUCCUUGUACACUCAGCAGUGGAACAGCCAGUGCACCUGUUGGAGAUUGUGGAACAUGUUAUUUCUCUUUCCAAAUGCUGAACCCAGUCCUGGAGCUAGCAUUGGCAAGAGGACAAGCCUGGGCUCCCAACUGUUCCACAGACUGUCAAUAGCAGGAUAAUCAGAUGAUUAUCAUCCCUCUCCUCAUUUAACCACAACUGAGCAAGGCCAAGCAAGGGAACAGGAAUGAGGCUUAUUCCAACAGAACCAAUCAUUUUCUUCUAUAGGAUUUCCCCCUGCUUGACCUCAGGGAUUUCAGCAGCCGUGCAUUGCUUUGGAAGCAUUGCUUUCAUGCUCUUAGCUGUUCUUUGUGCAGAUUACCCUUCCUCACAGUCAGCAGCACUGGACUCCACAAGCAGCUUUGAAGCCCAGAUGUUUCUCCAUCAGGCCCAGGGUACAUGUGCUGGUCCCUGCCCCCGAACCAACAUCACUUUCUAUUACACUGUCUCCCUUCUAGUUGCGUUUCUAAAAGCUGCUGCCCUAAGUUGCUGAGGCCCAGCACUGCCAGAUCUGCCCUACAGACACAACUUCCAACUGGAAAUUCUUUAUUUGCAUGUGAUCAAUAUUUCAGUAGCUUCAUGUAACAUAAGAUGAGAAAGACUCCAGAACAUUUAUUCCUUCACCUUGAAAACUGAGAACUUGCAGUGCAUAGGAUUUUAAACAGGAUACAGUGACAGGGUGGGAACUGAUGGGACAAAUAAGGCAGUUUGUGUUUCCAUUGCUAUCUAACCAUUGGCCAGGAAGCUAGCUGAAAACCAGCUGCAAAAUGAUCAUCUUUAUUCCUUCCCGUCAGCUUUUUAACAUUAUGAUCUGCAGAUAAAAUACUGAUAAAGAGAGUCAGAUCUUGUUAUUAAUAGAACAUCCCACUGAAGUCAUCUGGUAUCCUCCCACUGAGUUCUAUGUGUUCCAAUGCACAGCGUUGGACAAGUAAACAUGAAAAGUAGCAGAAAUAAUUUCAGAAUCCCUGGGCUUAGUAGAAAAGAGACCUUCAUAGGAAAUGGUGGUGGAAGGGGUACAGCAUUCCCUCCUCCACAAGUGCCAUAGGGCUCAGAAGCUGCAGGAUCAGUAACAGAAGGUUUUAGUGAACAAACCUUGCUAACCAAGUCAGUGAUGAACUCUGAGGACUCCCAGAGCUGUCAGCUCUUCAGUGAGCUCCUGUCCUGCUCUGUGGCACUGGAAAACUCCCCUGACCCUAGGGAUCCCAGCUCUCAUUCUGGCCCGUAGGGUACCUGGGAAGCACACCUGGGAGUGCAGUGUUGCUGCAGUUCCCCACCAUCCCUUUUUACUUUACCACAACCCUGACUGAGGAGUGCCUCCCUCUUCCUCAGUAAUUCUGAAAUCACCUUUAGCUCAAGUCAGGUUGAAGUUCAGAGCCAUACAAGAAGUCUGUAUUUACAACAUCCAAAAAAGAAACAGUUUUAGGAAAAAAAUAGAUUACAAAGAUAAGAAAAACAAACAACCCCCCUUGCCAAACCCCACAACCAAACCUCUAUUGACAUUACUCUUAUACCUGAAAUACCCCUCACCCAAAACCCAGCUAACCUGCUGCAGACCCUUUCCUGAGACUGUUUUUCUAUAUAGCAUUCAUCUCAGCUGCACUCAACAGUGAACUUCUUAAUUAAACACUUCAGCUUUUAUCACUAUUUGUCUUUGUAAGCCAUGCUGACAAUUUGGGAUUUUUUUUCCCUUGAAAACAACCACACCAAAAGAGACUCAGCUUUUUUUCCCAAGACUCUGCCACAAGGACACAAAAAAAAAACCAAACACCAAAAACCAGGCAAUCCUCAAGCCCACCUUGCAGCUAAGUCAGGCUGUCACAGCCCAACUCCCAGGCAGCCACCCAGCCCAGGAGUCCUUGUGGUGCACAGCCUCUCUCCAGAGGUCAGCUGUGGCACAGUGGCAGCAUCCUUUAGCUUUGACAUCCACAGAGAAAACUCAGCACAAUCCAGAGACAGCAAGUGGAACAGAGAAUGGCAGCUGGAUUGUUCCACAUGUUCCAGGAGGGACUGUGUAGUGCUCUCAGCCUCACCUUCUGCUAGCACCAAACAAAACCUCAAAACUUUUGUAUUUUUGAAUAUUUGGAAGCACCUGUUCAGCAGUGAAACAUUAUCAUGUGUAAUUAGAUGAUUCUGGAGCUGCAAAAUGAGCCUGUCAGUAAUGGGGACUUUACCUAUCAUGGGGAAGAAUGUAUGUUGCAGGAACAAUUGAGGUUAAUGUUAAAGAGCAUAUAAAACAAGGGGGAAACAUAUGCUCCUCAGUAAUAAAUGGUCUUUGGAAUAAUCUUGAUUUGGAAAUCAAGAUUUUCUGUGAGAGAUGUUCCACGUGGGAAGGGAGGGGAGCUGUUUACAGCUUCCAGGACACACAGCACAUCAGAGCUCUGGGCAGCACUGCCCUCAAGUGAGGACAGGCAGUGACAUACCUGGGGUUGUACCAGAGCAUGUGGACACUGUGUCCACAUUUCUGCUGUGCCUCCCAGGUUUGGCUCUGGGAGCUUCACGGUAUGUUCAAAGCUCCGGGCAGUUCACACCUUUCCUUCCUUAGUGCAGUUACAUUUUUACCAGCACCAUCCCACUUGCAUUCCUGCAGAAGCUUGGCACUCCUCCAAAACUGAGCUGUCAGCCAAAAAGAGCCCAGUAGUUUGAGGUUUCAGACCUUGGAAUAAUUUUCUCUGGUGAGCUUUAUUUAUCUCUAUAGGCAGGGAAUACUCUGCAUUUCUCUAAGAGGAUUUUAGUCCUAUUUAUUUUGGAGAUGUUGCAGUACCUUAAUACCAGAGCUGAACCUCUCCUCUUGAAGCUGCAUUGCUUUGAACUAUCCAAUAUAGUGCUGAGCUGCUGAAAAAGGAUGUUUUGCUACUUGCAUCAUGAAUCCUCAUUAUCACUCUCAAAAAGCUCAUGGAGAGCUGAUCACCAUGAGAAAAUAAAUCAACCAUAAAAAUCUGAACAUAUAUACAUGCAGUUACAUGCACAUUCAACCAAGUACCCAGACUGGUUAUUGUCUGGUUAUGGUGUUUCCACAACUUCCAGAGAAAAGGCAUGCAGAUGUUUCAGAGAGGAUCUUCAUGAGGAUCUUCAUUUUCAUAUUGAAUUAAAUUUCAAAAUACGCGUGCUAGCUUUUCUAAUGGGAAUUUAAUGUGUACUGCUCAACAAAGUGAAAAAGGAGAUUUUACCCUGGGCCUUUGCCCAAGACGUGUGUCCUUAUUUGUGGCAACAGCAAAAGCAAAACUCUUAUACAGAAUAGCCUGGGAAAGAUCUACUGUGCCAUGCUGCAUCAGCCAUUUAGUGUAGCCAAGGAGAAAGAGAAGGGCCUGGGUGAUAUGUUUUCCAAAGAGGAAAGCAAUCCACCAAGGCAUGGCAGUGCAACAUCACCAAUUCGCACCACAGAGUGCUAACACAAAUAGCUGCUGUCCAAAUGGCACUCCUUGAAGGGCAAAAUAAUGAAACUUUAUGCUAAACCAAUGUUUUCUCUUGUUGUGACUCACCACACAGUCCCAUGGCUUUCAUCAAACGCCUUUCCAUCAAACGCAUCCAGCUGUGUCACCACUUUCCUGGCAGAAGAGCUUUCACAUCAAAAAACAAAUUUAAAAAAAAAUUUCCUAAUGCUAGAGGUGAUUUGCAAAUAAUUCAACAGCCAGGCUUGGCCAGGAACAAGACAGGCAGCAUUGCUGCAGUUAUCCCAUACGUGACUACUGAGCCUGGCAGGAGCACUGAGGGCUGGGUUGGGGCAGUUGGAAAUUCAGCACUAAAGGAAAUGGACAGAAAGGAGAUACAUCAUUGCCAUUUUUCUCUUGUUAAUACAGGUUUCUCUGUCCAGUCCGAUCACAUUUCCAUCCAAGUUCAUUUACAUUAUUGUGCUACACACACCCUGUGGGGAUGGACGUGCAGUUGGGUGACACGCGGACCUUGCCACUUCAUUUCUGUGGCAACUCCAGUAAAGUCUGGAGGUGAAAAAAACAUACAGCGUUGCUUCCCAUGAGGGAGGAAAAAAGGGCUUGGCGAGUAAGACAGCUACAAGAAAACAGAGCCCAGGACACCCAAGUCUUUCCUCGUGUGCCCGCCUCACCCCGGGCGGCUGGAGGGCUGGUCUGUACCGAGCUGAGGGGAUCCGCCGGCGCUGAGGGGCCCGAGAGGACACGGAGGCACUGAGGGGAUCCUGUGGCACUGAGGGGAUCCUGUGGCAUUUAGGGGCCCGAGAGGACAGGGAGGCACUGAGGAGCCCCGCCGGCUGAGAGGAAGCGGUGCCGCCUGACGGUUCCUGCCCGCCCGACGCCGUUGCCACGGAGACGGCUAUGCGGCAAUGGCGGCCGCUGAGGCGGGCGGGGAUCCGACCGCGGCCCCUGAGCCCGCGACGUCCACCUGCUCCUCAGAAAGUACUUCCUUGAAAGAAGACAAUCUUUCCUAUCCUGGGAUGCUACCAGUAGAUAAAAGGCUUCUAAACUUACAGAUCUACAAACUUCUUCAGUGUGUUCAUGAGAAAAACAAGGAGCAAAUAGAAAAUCUGAUCCAGAAGGGAUUCCCAGAUCUCAUUAAUUACACAGAGCCUAAGGAAGGAUAUGGUGCCUUUCACUUGGCCUCCAUGAAAAAUGACAUUGAAAUGUGCUCCUUCCUGCUGGAACACGGAGCUCGUCCAAAUGUCCAUGACAAAAUGGGACGCACUCCUGCCAUGAAGGCAGCUGAGCUAGGCCAUGAGGUGAUUUUGGAAUUAUUAGUAAAAGCUAAUGCAGAUAUGACUGCUGUGGAUAAUGAAGGGAAAGGUAUUUUGUUUUACUGCCUUUCACCUACAGCACGCCACACCCACUGCUUGCAAAUUGCCUUGGAAUAUGGUGCAGAUGUCAACAACUGUACUACUACUGGGAGGUCUGUGCUUCUAGAAGCCUGUGAGCAAGCUCAUAGGCUUAAAGAAAUGUGCUUGAUUUUCUUGGAGAAAGGAGCAGAUCCCAAUGCAAAAGACCCGGCCACGGGGCGCACAGCAGUGAUGGAAGCUGCAAGGGAAGGCACUGCCGAGGUGGUGCUGGAUCUGCUUCGCAGGGGAGCCGAUGUGAACCUGUUUGACUUUGAAAGGCACAGUGCGGCACAUUUCGCAGCCAAAGGAGGCUUUUUGGAGAUUCUGAUGAUUAUUUCAGGUUAUAAUGCAGACUUGAAACUGAUUGCCAUGAAUGGUAACACUCCACUUCAUUACGCUGCAGAGGGAGGAUUUGCAGAUUGCUGCAGGUAUAUAGGACAAAGAGGCUGUGAUCCUACAUGGUCAAACUUGGUGCAUCUGACCCCGAGGGAGGUUGCUAAGAAUGGUGGGUUUAAAGCAGCAGCAGCAGUGUUGCGCAAAGCUGAGAAAGCCUUUAAAAAACCAAAUGAGAUCCUUGCCUGGUAUCUGAAGGUGUACGACUGGUCCUUGCAGCACGAGGACGCCAUCCGCAAGGAGUUGGAGACUGAAGAAGAAGGAGAUGGGAUGGUAUCCAGAAAUGAUUUUAUGUCACUUAUUAGGAAGCACUGGGGCACUGUGGACGAGGAACAAAUAGAAAUUCUUGCUAAAAUGCAUGAAGAAUCCUCUGGCAAGGUCAGACUUGAUGACUUUUUUAAAGGCUCAAAGUACUUGCAGAAAAUCUUUCUGCUAUCAUCCUUUGGACCCAAAGCAAAGAAGAAGAAGAAACCACAGAGAAAAAAAGGCAAAAAAGGCCUCCCUGUGCCGAUCUGUGUAAUCCCGAAGAGUGAACUUCCUCUUAGGGAAGAUGGUCUCCCUACCUACAUGGUUGAGGCUGUCCCACGCAUUCCUGAAGAGCAGCAUUUCAAACAGGACCACCAAGCCACCCAUCCCAUGCUCGAUGACCGUGUCUGGUACGUAGAGGAGCCAAGAAAAACCCUCAUGGAUAUCAACUACCUUGUCAAAAAAAGAGACUUUGUGUCUCUGCAGAAAGCCUUCGACGCGGGUGUGCCAGUAGACAUAAAAGAUAAAUAUUACAAAACACCUUUGAUGGUUGCAUGUGCAAGUGGCAACAUAGUUCUUGUGGAGUUUCUUCUGGAAAAGGGGGCUGAUGUCAAUGCAACAGACAACUUCCUGUGGACUCCUCUGCAUCAUGCUUGCUAUAAUGGACACCUGGAUAUCACUGAGCUGCUGGUGAAGGCUGGAGCAGCUGUGAAUGCCCCUGCAAUAGGCAAUGCCACCCCGCUGAUGAGAGCCAUUGAGGCCUGCAGGCUGGACAUGGUCUACUUCUUAAUCACUGCAGGUGCUGAUGUCCAAGCUACAAACAGCAAUGGAAAGAGUGUUCUUGAUCUUGCUCAAAUAUUUCAAAAUGCUACAAUAAUUGAACUGCUUGAAAAUCAACUGCAAAUUUUGGCAGAAGAACAAGAAAAAGAAGAAGCAAUGGCAGCAAAAGGUGGGAAGCCAAAACCAGCAGAGCCACCAAAACCUGUGAAAGAGGUAUGAGAGAUGGUAACAAAGAACUGACUUCCUAAUAGUUAGCCGGGAGCUUCUUUCUUUCCUUUUUUUGCCACCCAUUUCCCUCUAACACUGUAACUUAGGCAGCUUUGUUAAAGUGAGUAUUUUCAGAUAUUUGUGAGUAUUAGAACUUGUGCAUUGGUUGAAAUUUGUCUUGCUAAUUAUGCAAACUUCAUGUAUUCCCCAGACACGCAUAAGAAUGAUGUCUGUACCAUUGACAGGGCAGAGAAAAGGAUUUCCUUUUCUUUUUCCCUCCUCCUGAAGUAUAUUGCUCACCCAGCUCUUUUGUGGUAAUUACUUUAUAACUGGUAAUCAAAAUUUCUUAAAGGGAGAACCUAUUUUUUCACAAGAUAGGAACCAUACCCUUCAAACUGGUAAAAAGGUUUUUUGUUCUUCUAGUUCAAUUCACUGAGACAAUACCAGGCUUGUUAACUUCCUGUUUUCCAUUUUGUCCCAUGUUCUUCCUCUUCCACCAUUUACCUGAGUUCUCUUUCUCAAGUUCCACACUGAUGUUUGCCUGUUUUAUUUCUGAAUGCUUUUCCUGCACCCUCUGAGAGCCUUGAGCACCUCAGCAUUACCCGAUUCCCAAGCUGACAUCAGCCUCUGUGACUACAUCUGGGUUCUCUUGCUGUGGAUGAGACCUUCCUGAUUCACCAGUGCCUGAAGAUGUAUCAGAGCCACCUGAUGAAAACCCUGUUCCUGAAAAGCCAAAGCGUUCCCGUAAGGACAGUUCUG
RNA transcript from Catharus ustulatus (Swainson's thrush), 7761 nucleotides. It is a transcript of the gene named ankyrin repeat and EF-hand domain containing 1, with no coding region annotated. NCBI's taxonomy places the organism in Eukaryota, Metazoa, Chordata, Aves, Passeriformes, Turdidae. The record is from RefSeq and is a predicted model, not a curated record. The transcript is spliced from 9 exons.